This 468-nucleotide ribosomal RNA is filed under the name uncultured bacterium. Its description in RNAcentral is "partial 16S ribosomal RNA". It matches the Rfam family "Bacterial small subunit ribosomal RNA", at positions 28 to 507 of the family's 1533-position model. The record is from RNAcentral.
GACGAACGCUGGCGGCGUGCUUAACACAUGCAAGUCGAACGGAAAGGCCCUGCCUUUGUGGGGUGCUCGAGUGGCGAACGGGUGAGUAACACGUGAGUAACCUGCCCUUGACUUUGGGAUAACUUCAGGAAACUGGGGCUAAUACCGGAUAGGAGCUCCUGCUGCAUGGUGGGGGUUGGAAAGUUUCGGCGGUUGGGGAUGGACUCGCGGCUUAUCAGCUUGUUGGUGGGGUAGUGGCUUACCAAGGCUUUGACGGGUAGCCGGCCUGAGAGGGUGACCGGCCACAUUGGGACUGAGAUACGGCCCAGACUCCCACGGGAGGCAGCAGUGGGGAAUAUUGCACAAUGGGCGGAAGCCUGAUGCAGCAACGCCGCGUGCGGGAUGACGGCCUUCGGGUUGUAAACCGCUUUCGCCUGUGACGAAGCGUGAGUGACGGUAAUGGGUAAAGAAGCACCGGCUAACUACGUG